GCACUAGAAUAGCUAAAGGACAAACCGCUGCUUGUCUGCCCAUUCUCGUAAGGACAGCUACAUAAUAUCUCUUGUAACCAAGAUGGCCAAGCUAACAGGUGGCAUGAUUUUAUUAACUGCGGCUUGUGUGUAAUCCAAACUUUUAAACCACACAAACAGAUUGAUAAAACCAAUUAAACUAAACGUUUAUAUCUCAAGGAAAGGAGGCGGUUCUAAAGGGACAUCCUAUCUUUAAUUUCCGUUUCUGAUCACCUUUACCAUACCAUCUGCUCAAGGG
This 277-nucleotide unclassified non-coding RNA is filed under the name Hevea brasiliensis (rubber tree). The record is from RNAcentral. Lineage: Eukaryota; Viridiplantae; Streptophyta; Magnoliopsida; Malpighiales; Euphorbiaceae.